Molecule: ribosomal RNA, 492 nt
Filed under: uncultured bacterium
Lineage: Bacteria
Description: partial 16S ribosomal RNA
Rfam family: Bacterial small subunit ribosomal RNA
Source: RNAcentral
AGUGAACGCUGGCGGUAGGCCUAACACAUGCAAGUCGAACGGCAGCACAGUAAGAGCUUCCUAUGACGGGUGGCGAGUGGCGGAAGAGAGCGGAAUACGUCGGAAUCUACUUGUUCGCGGGGGAUAACGUAGGGAAAUUUACGAUACUACCGCCUAAGACCUGCAGGGGAACGCAGGGGCUCUUCCGACCUUGCGCGACUGAGUGAGCCGAUGUCGGAUUAGGUAGUUGGUGGGGUAAAGGCGUACCAAGGCGACGAUCCGUAGCUGGUCUGAGAGGAUGAUCAGCCACACUGGGACUGAGACACGGCCCAGACUCCUACGGGAGGCAGCAGUGGGGAAUUUUGGACAAUGGGCGCAAGCCUGAUCCAGCCAUGCCGCGUGGAGGAUGAAGGCCUUCGGGUUGUAAAGUGCUUUUGUACGGAAAGAAAAGCAUUCUUUUAAUACAGGAGGGUUAUGACGGUACCGUAAGAAUAAGCACCGGCUAACUACGUG